UGCCAUGCUCCUGCCUUGAUGAUAAUGGAC
Molecule: non-coding RNA, 30 nt
Filed under: Rattus norvegicus (Norway rat)
Lineage: Eukaryota; Metazoa; Chordata; Mammalia; Rodentia; Muridae
Source: RNAcentral